Leptinotarsa decemlineata (Colorado potato beetle) is the source of this 1004-nucleotide long non-coding RNA. The record is from RefSeq and is a predicted model, not a curated record. NCBI's taxonomy places the organism in Eukaryota, Metazoa, Arthropoda, Insecta, Coleoptera, Chrysomelidae.
AUCAGCCCCGCCAGCAAUUUCAGAAUGUACUUCACUUUGCUGUCUUGGUUAAUCUUCAUUAAUACAUUAUGUUCAUGUGGACAGGAGUUAACUGAUGAAGCAGAAAAAUUGUAUUGGAAUUUAUGUCAGUGUCACUGGGAAGAUUGGAAUAAUAAAAAUAGAAGAAUUCUACUGCUAAUGCUUGUGAAAUACAGCAACCCUUGGACUCUCAGUAUAGGCUUUGUUGUGAACAAAAAACUAAUGGUAAAGAUAUACAGAUUGGGAAACGCUUUAGUGUCGUACUUCAUAUACACUCUUCGAUAAUUCAAUAUUCAAUUUAUUCAUCUGUGAAAAAUAAAACAUAUUGGAAUUUCUAUAAUUAUGUCGAUGAGUCAAGAAAAAUACGAAUGAAGAUAUCAGAGGAAAAAACAUGUGUGCAUUUCGGGAGGCCCGACAGGAAUGAUAACUUGAACUAAUUUAGGUUGAACUAUUCAAUAUUGAAAUUGUUCAACUUGAGGAAAGCUUAGGUUAUCACUGAAAGUUUAUGUAUAAUAAUAUGAUGAUGUAUGAAGAAGUUAUUUAUCAACGAAAUCUUUUAUUGAUUAUUUUGUGUAUGUACAUAUAUUAUAGCUAUCAUAAUUGUUACUUCUGUAGGAUUAAAUAAUGAUACUAAUAAUGUACAUACACAAAACUAGUAUCAUCAUGACUUCGUAGGUACGUGCGGCAGAUACCCAACGGAAAAAUAACAACUAACCCAGCUAAUGCCGCGCAGAUAAAUGAAGUAAAACCAUUAGGCACAUGUGCAACAUAUUCGAUUCGGAAGAUUGGUCGCAAGUUAUUUUCCACUAUGGAAAGCAGAUAUCAAUUUCGUUUGGUACAUACGACCAACCGAUAGAUCGGUUUCGGGGUGCUUGCCCCUUUGUUCAUUUUAUUUUUCGUUUAUGGUUAAGCAUUGUGGAUAAAAUUUGAUAUUGUCCUGUAAAUGGGUAAUUGUUGGACAAUAAAUCCAUUAUUAUUAUUAUUAU